This 71-nucleotide transfer RNA is filed under the name Cordylochernes scorpioides. RNAcentral describes it as "tRNA-Gly". The record is from RNAcentral. Lineage: Eukaryota; Metazoa; Arthropoda; Arachnida; Pseudoscorpiones; Chernetidae.
UGCAUCGGCCGGGAAUCGAACCCGGGCCGCCCGCUUGGCAGGCGAGCAUUCUACAACUGAACCACCGAUGC